RNAcentral lists this transfer RNA (71 nucleotides) under Ophidiasteridae sp. 2-EK-2003. RNAcentral's name for it is "tRNA-Leu". It matches the Rfam family "tRNA". Rfam says of the family: Transfer RNA (tRNA) molecules are approximately 80 nucleotides in length. Their secondary structure includes four short double-helical elements and three loops (D, anti-codon, and T loops). Lineage: Eukaryota; Metazoa; Echinodermata; Asteroidea; Valvatida; Ophidiasteridae. The record is from RNAcentral.
GCUAGGGUAGCAAAGGGAAAAUGCAGUAGAUUUAGGAUCUAUUAUCGGGAGUUUGAUUCUUCCUUCUAGCU